Molecule: ribosomal RNA, 253 nt
Filed under: uncultured bacterium
Lineage: Bacteria
Description: partial 16S ribosomal RNA
Rfam family: Bacterial small subunit ribosomal RNA
Source: RNAcentral
UACGGAGGGGGCUAGCGUUGUUCGGAAUUACUGGGCGUAAAGCGCACGUAGGCGGCUUUGUAAGUUAGAGGUGAAAGCCCGGGGCUCAACUCCGGAAUUGCCUUUAAGACUGCAUCGCUAGAAUUGUGGAGAGGUAAGUGGAAUUCCGAGUGUAGAGGUGAAAUUCGUAGAUAUUCGGAAGAACACCAGUGGCGAAGGCGGCUCACUGGCCCGAUACUGACGCUGAGGCACGAAAGCGUGGGGAGCGAACAGG